Long non-coding RNA from Carassius gibelio (silver crucian carp), 578 nucleotides. RefSeq lists it as uncharacterized. The record is from RefSeq and is a predicted model, not a curated record. The transcript has 2 exons. Lineage: Eukaryota; Metazoa; Chordata; Actinopteri; Cypriniformes; Cyprinidae.
GGUAAUGCACGUUACGUUCCUUCCUUGUCGGUGGACCUGGUCAGGUGACGCAUACCGGCCUUUUUAAAGGGAAGCGGCGCUGUCACGCUCAAGGUUCUGUGCGCGUUCACGGUUCACCUGUCUGCAGAGAUUUUUCAGAUUUUAUUCUUGCACUAUCAUUCAUGUGCCUGCAUCAUGUGUCAGAAGGCCCAGGGGAAAGGCAUCUUGCUUGUGGAAAACUGGAGUUAAUGCAGGUGACCGAGGUGGUCCCAGUGAUUAUAAACAGAGUGUGCAGCCACAAAUGAGACAUCACACACUGUCUGUCAAAUGCAGAACUUUGUGACUUUUGUAAUAAAUGCUUUAAUGUGAUAUUAUGUCAGUUAAGUAAAGCCUUACAUCAAAUGCCAAAUUUAAUUGGUACAACACAAGAUUUACAGCCUUUCAUAUAAAUGUUAUGGUCUUCUUCUAGAUUUAUGAUAUAAAAUAUAUUUUUUUCUGUCAUCAGAACUUAUGACAGUGUCUGCUUGCUGUUAAAGAGAAUUCCAGAUCAUGAAUGAGAAUUGUGUGAUACCAGAUGUAUAAAAAUAUUUAGAAUGAAA